RNAcentral lists this ribosomal RNA (983 nucleotides) under Salmonella enterica subsp. enterica serovar Infantis. RNAcentral describes it as "partial 23S ribosomal RNA". The record is from RNAcentral. Lineage: Bacteria; Pseudomonadati; Pseudomonadota; Gammaproteobacteria; Enterobacterales; Enterobacteriaceae.
CCGGAGAAUGUUAUCACGGGAGACACACGGCGGGUGCUAACGUCCGUCGUGAAGAGGGAAACAACCCAGACCGCCAGCUAAGGUCCCAAAGUCAUGGUUAAGUGGGAAACGAUGUGGGAAGGCCCAGACAGCCAGGAUGUUGGCUUAGAAGCAGCCAUCAUUUAAAGAAAGCGUAAUAGCUCACUGGUCGAGUCGGCCUGCGCGGAAGAUGUAACGGGGCUAAACCAUGCACCGAAGCUGCGGCAGCGAACGUAUCACUUAAAGCGAUUCAGCGGGUUACGAUUGACGGAGCGAAGCGACGUCAAAGCGUAUACAAAGUCGAGUCGGUUUAAGGAUACGUUCGUUGGGUAGGGGAGCGUUCUGUAAGCCUGYGAAGGUGKSYYGUGAGGSWUGCUGGAGGUAUCAGAAGUGCGAAUGCUGACAUAAGUAACGAUAAAGCGGGUGAAAAGCCCGCUCGCCGGAAGACCAAGGGUUCCUGUCCAACGUUAAUCGGGGCAGGGUGAGUCGACCCCUAAGGCGAGGCCGAAAGGCGUAGUCGAUGGGAAACGGGUUAAUAUUCCCGUACUUGGUGUUACUGCGAAGGGGGGACGGAGAAGGCUAUGUUGGCCGGGCGACGGUUGUCCCGGUUUAAGCGUGUAGGCUGGUUUUCCAGGCAAAUCCGGAAAAUCAAGGCUGAGGCGUGAUGACGAGGCACUACGGUGCUGAAGCAACAAAUGCCCUGCUUCCAGGAAAAGCCUCUAAGCAUCAGGUAACAUCAAAUCGUACCCCAAACCGACACAGGUGGUCAGGUAGAGAAUACCAAGGCGCUUGAGAGAACUCGGGUGAAGGAACUAGGCAAAAUGGUGCCGUAACUUCGGGAGAAGGCACGCUGACACGUAGGUGAAGUGAUUUACUCAUGGAGCUGAAGUCAGUCGAAGAUACCAGCUGGCUGCAACUGUUUAUUAAAAACACAGCACUGUGCAAACACGAAAGUGGACGUAUAC